CUUACUGUCUCUUAUAUAAUCAAUGAAACUGAUCUCCUAGUAAAAAAGCUAAGAUACACCCAUAAGACCAGAAGACCCUGUGAAGCUUAAAUUAAACUAUUAAAACCCAUAAUAGCUCCUUUCGGUUGGGGCGACCUUGGAAAAAAAAAGAACUUCCAAAUAAAGUGAACUUUACUUCACACAACUUAGGCCUACAAGCCAAUAACGACCCAGCAUAGCUGAAAAAUGAACCAAGUUACUCCAGGGAUAACAGCGCAAUCUUCUUCAAGAGCCCAUAUCAAAAAGAAGGUUUACGACCUCGAUGUUGGAUCAGGACAUCCUAAUGGUGCAGCCGCUAUUAAGGGUUCGUUUGUUCAACGAUUAAUA
RNAcentral lists this ribosomal RNA (366 nucleotides) under Hierophis gemonensis. Its description in RNAcentral is "partial large subunit ribosomal RNA". It matches the Rfam family "Bacterial large subunit ribosomal RNA", at positions 2012 to 2593 of the family's 2925-position model. Lineage: Eukaryota; Metazoa; Chordata; Lepidosauria; Squamata; Colubridae. The record is from RNAcentral.